UACGAAGGGGGCUAGCGUUGCUCGGAAUCACUGGGCGUAAAGCGCACGUAGGCGGGUUCUUAAGUCAGGGGUGAAAUCCUGGAGCUCAACUCCAGAACUGCCCUUGAUACUGAGGAUCUCGAGUUCGGGAGAGGUGAGUGGAACUGCGAGUGUAGAGGUGAAAUUCGUAGAUAUUCGCAAGAACACCAGUGGCGAAGGCGGCUCACUGGCCCGAUACUGACGCUGAGGUGCGAAAGCGUGGGGAGCAAACAGG
This 253-nucleotide ribosomal RNA is filed under the name uncultured bacterium. RNAcentral describes it as "partial 16S ribosomal RNA". It matches the Rfam family "Bacterial small subunit ribosomal RNA", at positions 524 to 776 of the family's 1533-position model. The record is from RNAcentral.